GGGCUCACUUCGGCAGCACAUAGACUAAAAUUGGAACGAUAGAGAAGAUGAGCAGGUCUCCUGCACAAGGAUGCCACGCAAAUCCAUCAAGUGUUCCACAGUCUG
Talpa occidentalis (Iberian mole) is the source of this 105-nucleotide small nuclear RNA. NCBI's taxonomy places the organism in Eukaryota, Metazoa, Chordata, Mammalia, Eulipotyphla, Talpidae. The record is from RefSeq and is a predicted model, not a curated record.